This 786-nucleotide ribosomal RNA is filed under the name uncultured bacterium. Its description in RNAcentral is "bacterial SSU rRNA". It matches the Rfam family "Bacterial small subunit ribosomal RNA", at positions 569 to 1343 of the family's 1533-position model. The record is from RNAcentral.
GUCUAGGCGGCUCCGUGUGUCGUGCGUGAAAGCUCCCGGCUCAACCGGGAGAGGUCGGGCGAAACUGCGGAGCUUGAGGGCUGGAGGGGGAAGUGGAACUGUCGGAGUAGCGGUGAAAUGCGCAGAUACCGACAGGUACCUCGAUAGCGAAGGCAGCUUCCUGGCCAGACCCUGACGCUGAAGCGCGAAAGCGUGGGGAGCAAACCGGAUUAGAUACCCGGGUAGUCCACGCCGCAAACGAUGCCGGUUAGGUGUUGGCCCCUUAACGAGGGUCAGUGCCGCAGCUAACGCGUUAAACCGGUCGCCUGAGGAUUACGGCCGCAAGGCUAAAACUCAAGGGAAUUGACGGGGGCCCGCACAAGCGGUGGAGCACGUGGUUUAAUUCGAUGAUAAGCGAAGAACCUUACCUGGGCUUGACAUAUACGUGGUACAGAACCGAAAGGGGAUGGACCGUUUCCUUCGGGAUUCGGAGCGUAUACAGGUGCUGCAUGGCCGUCGUCAGCUCGUGCCGUGGGGCGUCGGGUUAAGUCCCGCAACGAGCGCAACCCCUGCACUUAGUUGCCAGCACUUCGGGUGGGCACUCUAAGGGGACUGCCGGCGAAUAGCCGGAGGAAGGAGGGGAUGACGUCAGGUCAGUAUGGCCCUUAUGCCCAGGGCCACACACGUGCUACAAUGGCCGGUACAGAGGGUCGCCAACCCGCAAGGGGGAGCCAAUCCCACAAAGCCGGCCUCAGUUCGGAUUGGGGUCUGCAAUUCGACCCCAUGAAGUCGGAAUCGCUAGUAAUC